RNAcentral lists this ribosomal RNA (68 nucleotides) under Bacteroides stercoris. Lineage: Bacteria; Pseudomonadati; Bacteroidota; Bacteroidia; Bacteroidales; Bacteroidaceae. The record is from RNAcentral.
UCUAGUGACGAUGGCAAGGAGGGCACACCUGUUCCCAUACCGAACACAGAAGUUAAGCUCCUUAGCGC